Molecule: transfer RNA, 73 nt
Filed under: Camelus bactrianus (Bactrian camel)
Lineage: Eukaryota; Metazoa; Chordata; Mammalia; Artiodactyla; Camelidae
Also listed under: 3 other names
Rfam family: tRNA
About the family: Transfer RNA (tRNA) molecules are approximately 80 nucleotides in length. Their secondary structure includes four short double-helical elements and three loops (D, anti-codon, and T loops). Further hydrogen bonds mediate the characteristic L-shaped molecular structure. tRNAs have two regions of fundamental functional importance: the anti-codon, which is responsible for specific mRNA codon recognition, and the 3' end, to which the tRNAs corresponding amino acid is attached (by aminoacyl-tRNA synthetases). tRNAs cope with the degeneracy of the genetic code in two manners: having more than one tRNA (with a specific anti-codon) for a particular amino acid; and 'wobble' base-pairing, i.e. permitting non-standard base-pairing at the 3rd anti-codon position.
Source: Rfam by way of RNAcentral
GAGGGUAUAGCUCAAGUGGUAGAGUGCAUGCUUAGCAUGCAUGAGGUCCUGGGUUCAAUCCUCAGCACCUCCU